GACGUAGGGUGCGAGCGUUGUCCGGAUUUAUUGGGCGUAAAGAGCUCGUAGGCGGCUCGUCGCGUCGACCGUGAAAACCCGCGGCUUAACUGCGGGCUUGCGGUUGAUACGGGCGGGCUAGAGUUCGGUAGGGGAGACUGGAAUUCCUGGUGUAGCGGUGAAAUGCGCAGAUAUCAGGAGGAACACCGGUGGCGAAGGCGGCAUCCUGGACCGGCAUUGACGCUGAGGCGCGAAAGCCAGGGGAGCAAACGGG
Molecule: ribosomal RNA, 253 nt
Filed under: uncultured bacterium
Lineage: Bacteria
Description: partial 16S ribosomal RNA
Rfam family: Bacterial small subunit ribosomal RNA
Source: RNAcentral